RNAcentral lists this ribosomal RNA (253 nucleotides) under uncultured bacterium. RNAcentral describes it as "partial 16S ribosomal RNA". It matches the Rfam family "Bacterial small subunit ribosomal RNA", at positions 524 to 776 of the family's 1533-position model. The record is from RNAcentral.
UACGUAGGGUGCAAGCGUUGUUCGGAAUUAUUGGGCGUAAAGCGUGUGUAGGCGGCUACCUAAGUCUGAUGUGAAAGCCCGGGGCUUAACCCCGGAAGUGCAUUGGAUACUGAGUAGCUAGAGGACGAGAGAGGAAGGUGGAAUUCCAGGUGUAGGGGUGAAAUCCGUAGAUAUCUGGAGGAACAUCAGAGGCGAAGGCGGCCUUCUGGCUCGUUUCUGACGCUGAGACACGAAAGCGUGGGGAGCAAACAGG